Non-coding RNA from Sardina pilchardus (European sardine), 432 nucleotides. The record is from the annotation of a RefSeq genome assembly. NCBI's taxonomy places the organism in Eukaryota, Metazoa, Chordata, Actinopteri, Clupeiformes, Clupeidae.
AUGGCUGUGAGCACCAACACAGAACACAGUGUAUUCCACAUGGAGACAGCACUGCUCUUCAUCCUCAUCAUGGCAGCAGUGUGCAGAGGAAAGGAAGACACUGUUGACCAGCGAUCAACAUCUGAGACUGGACCAGAAGGAGGAACGGUGAUACUUGACUGUAGUUAUGACACAGCUGGCAGCGACAUUGCUUACCUGUUCUGGUAUAAACAGAAACCUAAAGACCAUCCUCAAUAUAUGCUGAGGAGAUAUGCAUAUGGAGGUGGUUUAAAGGAAUUUGAAAAAAGAUUUUUUGCUGAGCUCAACAAAACUACGAAAACAGUUCCUCUGACGAUCAGGAAUCUUCAAGUGUCUGACUCUGCUGUCUACUACUGUGCUCUGAGGCCCACAGUGACAGCUGUUUCUCAGUCAUCAUGCAAAAACCUUAUCUGA